This 497-nucleotide ribosomal RNA is filed under the name uncultured bacterium. Its description in RNAcentral is "partial 16S ribosomal RNA". It matches the Rfam family "Bacterial small subunit ribosomal RNA", at positions 28 to 507 of the family's 1533-position model. The record is from RNAcentral.
GAUGAACGCUGGCGGCGUGCCUAAUACAUGCAAGUCGAGCGAACGGACGAGAAGCUUGCUUCUCUGAUGUUAGCGGCGGACGGGUGAGUAACAUGUGGAUAACCUACCUAUAAGACUGGGAUAACUUCGGGAAACCGGAGCUAAUACCGGAUAAUAUUUUGAACCGCAUGGUUCAAAAGUGAAAGACGGUCUUGCUGUCACUUAUAGAUGGAUCCGCGCUGCAUUAGCUAGUUGGUAAGGUAACGGCUUACCAAGGCAACGAUGCAUAGCCAACCUGAGAGGGUGAUCGGCCACACUGGAACUGAGACACGGUCCAGACUCCUACGGGAGGCAGCAGUAGGGAAUCUUCCGCAAUGGGCGAAAGCCUGACGGAGCAACGCCGCGUGAGUGAUGAAGGUCUUCGGAUCGUAAAACUCUGUUAUUAGGGAAGAACAUAUGUGUAAGUAACUGUGCACAUCUUGACGGUACCUAAUCAGAAAGCCACGGCUAACUACGUG